Molecule: ribosomal RNA, 421 nt
Filed under: Boeremia exigua
Lineage: Eukaryota; Fungi; Ascomycota; Dothideomycetes; Pleosporales; Didymellaceae
Description: SSU rRNA
Rfam family: Eukaryotic small subunit ribosomal RNA
Source: RNAcentral
AUGCAUGUCUAAGCAUAAGCAAUUAUACCGUGAAACUGCGAAUGGCUCAUUAAAUCAGUUAUCGUUUACUUGAUAGUACCUUACUACUUGGAUAACCGUGGUAAUUCUAGAGCUAAUACAUGCUGAAAACCCCGACUUCGGGAGGGGUGUGUUUAUUAGAUAAAAAACCAACGCCCUUCGGGGCUUCUUGGUGAUUCAUGAUAACUUCACGGAUCGCAUGGCCUUGCGCCGGCGACGGUUCAUUCAAAUUUCUGCCCUAUCAACUUUCGAUGGUAAGGUAUUGGCUUACCAUGGUUUCAACGGGUAACGGGGAAUUAGGGUUCGAUUCCGGAGAGGGAGCCUGAGAAACGGCUACCACAUCCAAGGAAGGCAGCAGGCGCGCAAAUUACCCAAUCCCGACACGGGGAGGUAGUGACAAUAA